UAUGUUCUUGAAAAUUAAAAAAUUUGGCGGUAUUUUAGUCAAUUCAGAGGAACCUGUCUUGUGAUUGAUAGUCCACGAUAAGAUAUACUUAUUUUUUUAGUUUGUAUAUCGUUGUUUAGAAUUUCUUUAUUGGGAUAAUUUUCAAUUGUUUUAAAUUAAAUUAAUUUCAGAUCAAGGUGCAGCUUAUAGAUAAGAAUUGAUGGGUUACAAUUUAGAUAUAUUUGGUUAUUUAUUUUAAAUUUUAAAUAUAAAUGGGAUUUGAUUGUAAUUAAAGAAAUUUUUCUUUAAUGAUCAUUGUUCUGAAAUAUGUACAUAUUGCCCGUCGCUCUCAUAAUAUUUGAGAUAAGUCGUAACAAAGUAGAUGUACUGGAAAGUGUAUCUAGAAAUAUCAAAUUAAAGCUUUAUAGAAAGCUUUUUAUUUACAUUAAGAUGAUUACUGUGCAAUUCAGUAUAAUUUGAAGUAUAAUUAGUUAUUUUUAGUUUUUAAUAGAAGAAACUUUUUUUUAUUAUAUAAAUAGAAAAAUUAUUUUUAAUUAUAGUUAAUUAGUAAAGUGAUUGAAAUUAAAUAAUAUUUUUAAAAGAAAAAUUUAUUUUUUGUACCUUGUGCAUCAGGGCUGAUUUAUAAGAAUUUAUAUAAGUAUAAUUUUCUCGAAUUUUAAAGAGUUAAUUAAUUAUUUAUUUAAAUGUAAAAUAAUUUUUUAAAAUAAUUAAUUUGAAGUGAAACGCUAUUCGAUUUUUAAGAUAUCUAGUUUUUUAAGAAAAGAAUUUAAUUCUAUUAUUAUUUAUUUAAAUUUUAAUUUUUAAAAUUUAAGUUUUAAUAUUAAAAAUUUAAUGGGAUGAUCUUUUAAUUUUAAAAUUAAAAAUUUUUAGAAUUUAAUUUUUUGUAUAAUUUGAAUUGUUAAUCAUAAAUAAUUUUAUAGUUAGGUAUUUAUAAAUUAAGAUUUAAAUUGUUUUAAUUUUUAUAUUAAAAAGAAAUGUUUAAUUUUUAACUUUUGAAAUAAUGAUUAGAUUAGUAAUAUAUAAUUUUAUUUUAUUAAAUGUUCAUAAGGUUAGAAAAAGGAAUUCGGCAAAAAAUUUUUCGCCUGUUUAAUAAAAACAUGUCCUUUUGAAGAUGAUUUAAGGUCUAAUCUGCUCAAUGAAUUAUUAAAUAGCCGCAGUAUUUUAACUGUGCGAAGGUAGCGUGAUAAUUAGUUUCUUAAUUAGAAACUUGUAUGAAUGAUUUGACAAGAAAAUUUCUGUCUCUUUCUAAUUAUUUAUUAAUUUAACUUUUAGGUUAAAAGGCUUAAAUAUUUAUAAAAGACGAGAAGACCCCAUAGAGUUUAAUUUUUUAUUUUGUUUUAGUAUAAUUUUUAUAUUUAAAAAAAAUUAGUUGGGGUAACUUAAAGAUAUAAUAAAUUCUUUAAAUAUAAAAUCAUUGAUUUAUGAAUUUGAAAUCUAAAUUAUUAAAUUUAAAUAAAGUUACCUUGGGGAUAACAGCGUAAUUUCUUUUUAGAGUUCUUAUCAAAUAAGAAGAUUGCGACCUCGAUGUUGGAUUAAAAUAAAGUUUAGGUGUAGAAGCUUAAAUAUUAAGUCUGUUCGAC
Molecule: ribosomal RNA, 1580 nt
Filed under: Ellychnia aff. corrusca KSH611
Lineage: Eukaryota; Metazoa; Arthropoda; Insecta; Coleoptera; Lampyridae
Description: partial 16S ribosomal RNA
Source: RNAcentral